This is a long non-coding RNA of Acomys russatus (golden spiny mouse), 510 nucleotides long. RefSeq lists it as uncharacterized. The transcript is spliced from 3 exons. Lineage: Eukaryota; Metazoa; Chordata; Mammalia; Rodentia; Muridae. The record is from RefSeq and is a predicted model, not a curated record.
AUUCUAUACCAACGGAUAUCUGUCCACAGGCCACAAGCAGAUGAUUUUCACAUUGACAAAUAAAUAUUAUAUGUGAAUUCAUCACGAAGAUAAGGAAAAUCUUUCUUCAGAGGUAUUCUAGAAGUUUUGAUACACCACAAGAUUGGAAGAUCUUGUUAACACAUUCAGCACUCUCUUUGAGGCAGAUGGAGAUGCAAAUUCAGGCAAAACAUAACAGCUUCCACAAUCAUGCGCUAUAAAAAUUAAGUAUCUCACUAAAACUUCACCUUGGAAGUGUGAUAUGUGAUUUUGACUUUCUCAAGAAGGACACCGUGUGACACAACAAAGAGACUCAUUCACUGGCUGAUAUUUGUUUAUUACGCAGUGUUUGAAAAUGGAUGAACAACUCAUGUGAAGAGGAGAAAAGUUAAAAGUGAUAUACAGAUCUACGUGCUGAGAAGGACUUCCUGCUCAGCAGGGAGAAUACAAUCUCAUUCACCACACAAGAUGCUCAUAAAGGGGGUGCCAACU